AAGGAAGUUCGAGCUUUCAAUGCAGGAAUUUCGAAGCAACACGAAAUACCUCGUCAUAGUGCCAGUACAUGUGAGCAAAGAGCAGGAGGAAGACAAACUUACCAGCCAACUCACGAAGAGUGCAAUGCCAUUGAUUGUAUAAGCUCGAGUUUUCUUCAUGUCCGCCGCUGCCAGGCGUCGUGCUCUCGGACAGGAGUACCGUGUAUAGAUAUAUGUGUGCAUAUCCGCUAUGCACUGCCAGGAAGAGCGAGAUAAUGGAGACAGCGUGAUGAACAACCUGUUACGUAUGACCGGUUCGGAUAAUAUUUCAGCAACAUCGCCAUGUCCGUGAUAAAGUAUCCAUUUGAGACCUGGAAGAACAGUAUGAUCGAUGGAAGAUUUUUCCAACAUAAAGUACCGAACCCCGAGGAAGAACUGGGUGAAGAUGGUGCUCCGGAACACAACAGGUCCAUACGCCACCUCUUCUCUAAACAGGUCCGAGACGAAGAAAAGAUAUCCGGCCACCAAUGUCGCGACGACGGCGUGCGUGAAAGAGAUUGCCCUGCAUUAUGGUCAAACCGCGAUUUCUCCAUCUUCUUCACAGUGACGCGACUCACAUAAACCCGCCUACAAAACUUUAAAUACUACGAGCAGACCGAAUUGACUUGGAAUACCUGUUGUUCCACUCGACCCUGUCCUUGUCCGAGAGCUUGGUGUACGCAUUUGGGAAGAGAACCGGGCCGUAAGCCUGCAUCGACUCGAAUGCCUGCUCGACAAGUCGACCGAUCCAUGUGAGAAUCGACGUGGCCCAGAGCAAUGGCUUCUUGUAGCCAAAAUCUCCCAUCACAUCCUCCAGUUGGGUCUGGAAAAGCACUGCCUUCUCCAUCGCCGUCGUCACGAAAGAGAACCCACAGAGGAAGGAGAAGAUAAAAAUCCAACGUUGUGAGAAUCGUGGGGACGGUGCCUCCUGAUCGCGGGAAGGGAUCGACGGCCGUCCGGGGCCAACGGAGGUCGCGAGUUCGAAACAGUAGAACGCCUCUCUGGAGUCACUGGUCAGCAUGUACGCGAGCGCGUAAAAUAAAACGUACGGAAUGGGCGUCUCUUUUUAUAUAGGGCUUUUCUCUGGUC
This is a long non-coding RNA of Selaginella moellendorffii, 1107 nucleotides long. RefSeq lists it as uncharacterized. The transcript is spliced from 6 exons. The record is from RefSeq and is a predicted model, not a curated record. NCBI's taxonomy places the organism in Eukaryota, Viridiplantae, Streptophyta, Lycopodiopsida, Selaginellales, Selaginellaceae.